UUUAUCAAACCAUUGUGUUAACAAAGAUUGGAAGGAGGAUGAUGAAAAUGAAACACCUGAAAUUGUUGUGUUCAGAUAGUUUGACCGUGCAUUCGAUCUUUUAAAAGAAUCUGUCCAUAUGUACACCCUCCAAUUAGGUUCAACCACAUGUUAUCCUUCGUGCACAUGUUGAAGUGUCGAAGAAGUUGAGAAAAGCUAACAUUAGUGUUGGUUGAUCCUUAUCCACCAAUAAUGUGGCAGUC
This 242-nucleotide long non-coding RNA is filed under the name Lathyrus oleraceus (garden pea). RNAcentral's name for it is "Pisum sativum (pea) long non-coding RNA (PSAT_LNC027547)". Lineage: Eukaryota; Viridiplantae; Streptophyta; Magnoliopsida; Fabales; Fabaceae. The record is from RNAcentral.